RNAcentral lists this ribosomal RNA (469 nucleotides) under uncultured bacterium. RNAcentral's name for it is "partial 16S ribosomal RNA". It matches the Rfam family "Bacterial small subunit ribosomal RNA", at positions 28 to 507 of the family's 1533-position model. The record is from RNAcentral.
GACGAACGCUGGCGGCGUGCUUAACACAUGCAAGUCGAACGGAAAGGCCCUGCUUUUGUGGGGUGCUCGAGUGGCGAACGGGUGAGUAACACGUGAGUAACCUGCCCUUGACUUUGGGAUAACUUCAGGAAACUGGGGCUAAUACCGGAUAGGAGCUCCUGCUGCAUGGUGGGGGUUGGAAAGUUUCGGCGGUUGGGGAUGGACUCGCGGCUUAUCAGCUUGUUGGUGGGGUAGUGGCUUACCAAGGCUUUGACGGGUAGCCGGCCUGAGAGGGUGACCGGCCACAUUGGGACUGAGAUACGGCCCAGACUCCUACGGGAGGCAGCAGGGGGGAAUAUUGCACAAUGGGCGGAAGCCUGAUGCAGCAACGCCGCGUGCGGGAUGACGGCCUUCGGGGUUGUAAACCGCUUUCGCCUGUGACGAAGCGUGAGUGACGGUAAUGGGUAAAGAAGCACCGGCUAACUACGUG